UUAGUGUGAAAGAGGUCCUGUGUUUAAUUCUCUGUGAUGACGUGGAGACAGUACUUUUGCUCCAAUUUCAGCUAAGAGUUGUGUUAGGGAAAAAUUUUGAGUAGUUGUGUUUUAGUGGCUUAAUAAGGAGUGCUUUUAGGAGAUAAUGGGGGUGAGGUUAUCAGAAAAUAAUCUGAUUAUCUUUUUGUUGCAAAAAAGAAGUAGAGUUUCGGUUUUCUUUCCAAUUACCCAAAUUGCUGCCAAAAUUUCUAUUGUUUUUUCCCUUUC
RNAcentral lists this long non-coding RNA (267 nucleotides) under Gossypium barbadense (sea-island cotton). Its description in RNAcentral is "long non-coding RNA (GBAR_LNC016442)". Lineage: Eukaryota; Viridiplantae; Streptophyta; Magnoliopsida; Malvales; Malvaceae. The record is from RNAcentral.